AGUGCAGGGGGCUGAUGCCACUACGUUUGACGCGGGUGCGGCUGGUCACAGGGAUCAGCAUGGAGACAAUCCUGCCAGCAGGAGACGUAUGUGCUUCAGCCAGCUCUUCACAUCUGAGUUAAAGAGGCACUGCAUCAUUUCAGUCUGCAAGGGGAACCUGAACCUCCCUGCAGGGGUGCCACACUCAGGCUCCACAUCCAAAUGCUGGAGUGUUCUAGAGCCUUUCCUAUCUCUCUGUAGGAAGAAUGCAGCUCAAGUGAAGGCAGCCAAGACCAGAGAAGUCAGACUACAGCCCAUGUCUGUCACAGGGCUGAGCUUCAUGUACCAUUUUGAAAUGGUGCCAAGUUUCUCCUUAUCCCUGACUCCUGCUUCUGUGAUUUCUAUUUAUUAGAAAUUAAAUGGAGCAGGAGGCAGAGCAUGCUUAGUAGGAGUGUGCCAAGAGUUUACUGAUUUCUAUUUACUUAAUAAAUCUGCUCACACUUCAAAAAGUCUUCCCUUCUCAGCAUCUCAGUUCCGAGGGGGAAAGAGUUAAAUGACUGCUUGCAAUUGUUCUACAGCUCAUGAGAUGACCUUUAUGAAUUUCUGGUCAGUAUUGACAAGGUGUCAUUUAAAAUAAACAAACACCAAGCAACAAGAGUUGACAGUUGAGCCCUGGGACCACAUUCUUUGCUUUUUGAUGGUAAGGAGCCUUCAUGCUCUGGCAAAAAGUUGAAGUGUGGAAUUCCUGCAGAAUUACGUACUAAAUCUGCAGGAAUACAGAGGUCACCGUGAAGGGUGUUAUUUUACUGAAUACCAAAGGAAUUAAGAAUGAUCAGCCAAUUGGACUAAAGCUUUGUCAUUUAGAUAAAUAUUUAUAAGAGAAUAUCUCUUUCUUUUGUCUUUCUCUUGCACUUAGUU
Molecule: long non-coding RNA, 897 nt
Organism: Corapipo altera (White-ruffed manakin)
Lineage: Eukaryota; Metazoa; Chordata; Aves; Passeriformes; Pipridae
Exons: 3
Source: RefSeq, a predicted model, not a curated record